Molecule: ribosomal RNA, 484 nt
Filed under: uncultured bacterium
Lineage: Bacteria
Description: partial 16S ribosomal RNA
Rfam family: Bacterial small subunit ribosomal RNA
Source: RNAcentral
AAUGAACGCUGGCGGCAUGCUUUACACAUGCAAGUCGAACGGCCGCGCGGGCUUCGGCCUGGUGGCGAGUGGCGAACGGGUGAGUAAUGCAUCGGAACGUGCCCAGCAGUGGGGGAUAGCCCGGCGAAAGCAGGAUUAAUACCGCAUACGACCUGAGGGUGAAAGCGGGGGACCGAAAGGCCUAGCGCUAUUGGCGCGGCCGAUGUCGGAUUAGCUAGUUGGUGGGGUAAAGGCUUACCAAGGCGACGAUCCGUAGCUGGUCUGAGAGGACGACCAGCCACACUGGGACUGAGACACGGCCCAGACUCCUACGGGAGGCAGCAGUGGGGAAUUUUGGGCAAUGGGGGCAACCCUGAUCCAGCCAUGCCGCGUGCGGGAAGAAGGCCUUCGGGUUGUAAACCGCUUUUGUUCGGGAAGAAAUCCUCUGGGCUAAUACCCCGGGGGGAUGACGGUACCGGAAGAAUAAGCACCGGCUAACUACGUG